RNAcentral lists this long non-coding RNA (861 nucleotides) under Equus caballus (horse). RNAcentral's name for it is "lncRNA (ENSECAG00000037122.3)". The record is from RNAcentral. Lineage: Eukaryota; Metazoa; Chordata; Mammalia; Perissodactyla; Equidae.
CUGGGAUGUGGCUUGGGAAUCGGGAUUUUUAAACGCUCCCCUAGUGGCGGGCCCCGUGGCUGAGUGGUUAAGUUCUCUCGCUCCGCUUCGGAGCGCCGGUUCAGAUCCUGGGCGCAGACAUGGCACCACUCAUCAGGCCAUCCUGUGGAGUCAUCCCACAUGCCACAACUAGAAGGACCCACAACUAAAAUAUACAACAGCCAUAAUGCCCAGCUUCUAUUCAGAUUAGCCCUGAGCUAACAUCCGUUGCCCAUCUGCCUCUACUUUAUAUAUGGAACGCCUACCACGGCAUGGCUUGCUGAGUGGGUUAUAUUCAUUGACCUACAUAUCUGCUAAUCUGUGUAAUGGUUUAUGCAGGAAAUUGCAAUUGAAGAAAGAUCUUACAUCAUACCAAGAGCGGAGGUUCCAGAGACGUGAUUUUCAAUUUAUCAAGAUGGGCAAUGGAUACUUUCAGUGUUCCUUGAGUAACAGAAAUGGCUUUUUUAUUGGAAUGAAACAGCAGCUGGACGUUCAGUAGGGGCAGAAGUCUUUUGGGUGGAAUUGCAGAGAAGUGCCAUGCUCCUGUCCCUUGGAGGAAGGAAAGAAGACAUAAUACUAAGUCAAGUGAAGAUGUUAUACUAAGUCUGGAGUUUUGAUAUCUUGAGCUGGACAUUCUUAUUAUUGCAUUAGUCACUGCAUUAGCGUAAAGUAACCAGAUUUCACCUAUUACCCGAGAAUCAGCAGUGAUGCCUUGCAACAGACAGAGUGUUUGUCCUGAGGCAAAGGAGGGUUAUAUCCACUAAAUGUAAUUAAAGGGGACCUGGGAGACAAAAAUAAAGUUAUAUAAUGUUUGUAAAACAACGUGGUUAUAGAAAUUAGGCU